Molecule: long non-coding RNA, 5142 nt
Filed under: Meleagris gallopavo (turkey)
Lineage: Eukaryota; Metazoa; Chordata; Aves; Galliformes; Phasianidae
Description: lncRNA (ENSMGAG00000021718.1)
Source: RNAcentral
AUGUUUAUCAAGUAUGAUUGCAGAGAGAAUUCAGUGCUGGUGGAAGUGACUGGAUUCACAGCUGUGGAAAUGGAGAUGGAGACACCCUGUCUCAUGCAGCAACUGUCUGAAGGACUGCUGCAGGACCAUGCACUGCCCUUCAUCUGCUCCCUGGCAAGGCCAGGAAACCUGCUCAUGUCACCCCAUGGACCAGUUCCUGUAGGCAUUAUCUGCAGACUCUGUCAACAACAGCUUGCAAUUUCAUUCUUGCAGCUACAGCGCUGGACGUGUGGGGAUUUAAUGAGAAAUUCAGUCAUCGUCCCGAAAACCAAAUUGCGUUUAAAAUACAUUUCCACCCUGCCCUGCCAUCUUGCUUCUGUUUAGUGUGUAGACAGCUCUAUGCAUAAGGGAAUCAAACUCCUCGGUGCCCUCUGCAUCCCUCGACCUGAGUCACAGCCUUUGCAGCAGGAAAAAAUGCAGGUCCUUGCCUCAAUUUGCAGAGCAGAUUUUGAGAGCAAACCUGUCAUCACCAGUGCCCUAAGCUGAUAAUGUGUAUGGUGAGCAUGGGGAGGUUAAGAUGAGGACAUCUGGUUUGUUCUAUUUCUGGUACAAGAACAAUAUCCACCCGUCAAGGGGGAGGGCAGACAGUUCAGCAUGGUGGCAUCUCUAGCCAGCUAAAUACAACUGGGCUAUGAGUCAGUUGUCUUUCUAGCAUGGCAUCAGACAAAUAUCUGAACUGUAGCAUACAAAGGGUCCUUUGUUUCUAUUUUAAGAGCUGUGUGAACAGAGCUAGAAUACUGCAGCUAUUUUCCACUAUGGUUUAUCCCUUCACACAGUUAGAGUCUGCUCUGAUCAGGCAACAAAAUCCCAGGCUUGGAAAAAUCCUCGCCUCAUGAUCAGUAAAUUCUGCUGAGAGUAAAGCAAGGUACAAACAUGAAGAAAAAAAAAAAGAGUUGGUGGAGUGGGCGCAGAGAAAUAAAAAGAGAAAGCAGUGCAGAAGACGUCAAAAGUCAUAACUGGAAAGGAAGGAAGAUAUCAAGAAAUGCAAUUGCAAAUCAGAGGAGAGACUGGAUAAAAACAAGGCAUAGCAAGAUCUGUUAUUAAAGAAAAUGUACAGACCCAUAAAAGUGGUUGGGAGGAAAUGACAGCCUGGCUUCAAAAAAGCUAAUGCUGCUGGUCUUGAGUUGCACCAGCGGAGGUUCAGGUUGGAUAUGAGGAAAAAUUUCUUCUCAGAAAGAGUGAUAAUGCACUGGCACAGGUUGCCCAGGGAGGUGGUGGAGUCACUGUCCCUGAGGUGCUCAAGAGCCAUGGAGAUGUGGCACUAAGGGACAUGGUUAGUGGGGGACGAUGGUUUGCUGGUUGGACUCCACGAUCUUAGUAUUUUGUUGGUUUUGUUGUGGUUUUUUUUUCAUAUCUUAAUGAUUUUCUGAUGAUUUUAUAAUUCUUUAGAUCAGCUGGACCUGUCAUGGCCCAGCCUCAAUGGCAGGGCACCUCUGGCCUGGAGAAAAAGCUCCAGGUGAGACCCAACAUCUUUUUUGGUGAAAGCUCCCCUCUAGGAAGUGGUUCCAAUCCCCCAGUGCCGAAUGUCUGAAUGUCUCUGGGCCCCACCAGAAAAGGAACCACCAGCAAGAAAGGAGGUCUUUUCCACCUGCAGUCUGCCUGGCUCCAGAUCUUCUCCUCUGCUUCUCACAGAAAUGAGCUUUUUCUUCAUGCCAGGCUAAAAACCUGCAGGUCUUUCUUCCUAACUUCUGAAUUUCAUGAAGCAACCUGAGAAAUGUGGAGUCUCUGAUGCUGUUUCCUGAGGCAAAGCAUUUAAUUCUGCAGCACAAUGAUCUUUUGAAGUCUGUUAAAAAAUGGCCCAUUCUGCUCCAAAGGCAGGAAGUAAAACUUAAGGCGUCAAAUCAUAGUACUGCCAUUCACCAAAGGCAGACAGCACAAUUCAAAAGACUGACAAUAACAUCCUGCAAAUAGUAAUAUUUUUUUUUCUCAGAAUUUGUCCAUAAUUGACUAAUUUCCAGCAGGGAAAAGAAAUAAUGAGAAGCUGCUCAUCUCUUGGCCCAGGCCAGCAGCAAUGCUGUGGGCUGUAGCUAGCUAGCAAAUUGCACCAGCUCAGUCCCUCCAGGGCUAGGUUUUAAGUGUUAAGCUCUUGCAGCUCUGCCACCACUGGAGUGUGCCUGUGGGACCUUGUUCCAAAUCUUUGCAGCACGUCAUUUGCCCCCGAGAGAGUAUUUCUUGUUUAUGUUUCAGAGAAAAUGUUGCUUUUUUUUCUCCCAAUCAAUUCCCUAACAUAAACGUCCUUGGCGCAGAAUUUCUAACAUUGACAACACUGUACAUCUUUACCUCUCCAGGGUAUUGCUUUCUUCUUUGCAAUAAAAUAGGUCUGCUGCAGUGGGAAAAUUCCCAACCUUAACUUACACACAGCAGCUCUUCUUUUCUUGGGAAGCAAUAAAGAGAUACACUAGCAACUGUUCUCUGUAUUUAUUUUAUUAUUCACACAAAUGUGAAUCACUAAUCAGCAUCUAUCUUAAAUCACCAUAAACUUCCCGACUAGCUUGCUUUGUCUUUUUCUCCAGGCAGCCAGCCCAGCUGGUUCCCAUAGGUACUAGCAAAAUAAAUCCCUGGGAGAGAGAUCUAACAUUUGAUUCUUGCAAGCAAAAGCUUCUAGUACUACAGCCCAAUAAAACAUCAGUCAGCGCCUGGCAGUGUUUCUUUCUUCUGCUGCAUCAGCCCAGCCCCUCCCUGAUCUGCAUUCCCUCCAGCAGGCAGAAGUCUAAUUGAAAUAUUGACCAAAAUAAAACCAAUUCCCAUAAAUAUGUACUGUUACCAUGAGCUAUAAUUUUGUUCAUUCAUUAUUACUCACAGUGACAGCCUGAGCCCAGGAUGAGUAAGGGCUGCGAUGGCAGCCUUCAAGGAUGGUCCGUCCCUUUUCACAGGGGUUCUGUACUCGUGCAGCAUGUAAAGAGAGGGCAACAUCAGCUGGGAGAGCUCUGCUGGCAGUAAUGGCACCGCAUUGAUUUUUGCUCAUUGAGCUCCAAGCUCCUCAUGCUGAAAGGGAGAAUGUUGCCAUCUGCAUUGCAUAUCCGGGGGCUUUUUAAGCUCCCUUCAUUAGGUCGUACUUAGAGACAAUGCUCGCUCUUGAUUCAGAAGCUAUGCACAAACAUCUUAAAUGCAUUCACCAAGCUUCUCCCUGUGGACAAAAGACAGCUCUAAGGGCAGAAACUGGAACAUGACUGGUGUCACAGCCCAUCUCCGUCACACACCUGUCACUGUAUGUGACAGAGAAGAAAAUAGGACCUGGGACAGUACUUUGUGAUAGAAUAAGGUGUUGUAGAUAUUUGUUGUUCAACUCUGGGACCAAACAGCCUUCAAGAGAAAAGACUGACCGUGUGCUAAAUUGCACACUGCCUGCUUCUGUUCCUCUUGGGUUGCUUCCUGAGCUGGCCCAAAUGUGCUGUCUGAAAAAUGACUGACAGGGAGGCUUGAAGGGAAAGAGAAUAGGAGAUGGAGUAUCCUGCUGCCAUUUGUGACAGCCAGGGAGGGCUGUAACACGCACUGCAGGCUGCAUCAGCUCCAGAUGAGUGGCUACACCUUAGUGGAACAGCAGCAUUUCACCUGUGUUCCUUGACAAAACAUAUGAAUAUCAAUAACUGCAGGAAGCAGCAGCCCUUCAGGCUCCUGGCUGAGUUCUGAUAAGCGGCUCUGUGUCAGUUUGGAUCUGCUUUUGGCCUUUACCAGAUGGGAGAAACCGAAUGUGUAAGGAUGCCAAAGAAGAGCCAUGUCAUGGAUGUUGGGAAAGGAUGGAGGUCUGACUGCACCUUGGCCCAGGAGAGGAGUUUUCAGUGAAGAGGAGAGGUACUGGAUGACUGCAGCAGGGUAUAUUUUCCUGUCCAACAACACCAGGUAGCCACAGAUUGAGUCAUUCUGCAUGGCAGAGCAUUUAGAAUAUUGGAGGUUAUCGCUCAUGUGAUGCUGGAUGCAGCUCAGGUGGUGUGAGGAAGGAUGCUGAUGUCUGCUGGGAGACUCACAUGUGGUGGGGGCCUCCCAAAAGGCUGAUCUCAUGGCAGAGCAGGUGCUGCAGACGGCUGUACUAUGGUUUUCUGUGUAUGAUUCCCACCCCCAGCCACUUUAAAGCCAGGCAUAAGUGAGAAGCCCAGCCCAUCUGGCUUUUGUCCUACUUUCUUUUACUUGUAUUUUGACAGUGUUCAUAUUCUGGAUGUUUUUUGCAGUCAUUGUUUAGCUAGAAUGUGCCACUAGUUAUUUUUGCUACAAUCUCAAUGAAGCAAGCUUUAAAGAGUGAAGGAUGAAAGCAGAAGGAAAGAAAUACAAAUGGAAGAAUAAAAGGUAAUCAUGCUCUUAUGAAUUGGAGUUCUGAUGUUUUAUGAGUACUGUUAGAGACGUGUAAAAUGCAAUUUAUCUUGAUGAAUAGAAAUAGCCAUACGUUUUCCUAUAAACUAAGUUCAAGCAAGGCAGUGGAGCACUGGACGGGGAGCUGGAAUGCUCAUCUCUCCUCUGCACAGCCAAAAAUGACACAGUGCUCAUGCAGACAGAGCCUGAUUGCUUUAGCAGAGGCAGAUAGAUUCUCAUGCAGCAUCCAUCUACCACCUGUGCAAGGGGUCUCAGUGUCUCUGGCAGGGGUGAUCAUCAAAUUAUAGAAUGGCCUAGGUUGGAUGGGACCUUAAAGAUCAUCCAGUUCCAACUCCAUUUCCAUGGACAGGAUUUUCCUCCACCAGCUCAGGCUGCCCAGGGCCCCAUCCAUGGCCUCGGGCACCUCCAGGGAUGGGACACCCACAGCUCACUGGGCAGCACUGCCAGAGCCUCACUGCCCUUGGAGUAAAGAAUUUCCUCAUAACAUCUAACCUAGAUUUCCCCUCUUUUAGUUUAAAGCCAUUCCCCUUUGUCCUAUCACUAUCAGACUAUGUAAAAACUCAGUCUUAACCCUACUGCUUAUAAGCUCCCUGGAGUUAUCUCUGGAUAUAUCUCUGUCAAUGAAACUCCAAGCAGUGAAAUGCUCCUGAAAGAGGGUGAAGCUGCAGACCAGACAGUGUAAGCAGGAUGCACUAUUACAGCAUCCUACAUUACAGGCCUCAGCAUCUUUCAAAACAUGACAUCUGCUCAACUCUGCUGUGUCUGCCCUCAGGAAGCACAGCGAUGCCACGAGCCCAG